AACGAACGCUGGCGGCAUGCCUAACACAUGCAAGUCGAACGAGAUCUUCGGGUCUAGUGGCGCACGGGUGCGUAACGCGUGGGAAUCUGCCCUUUGCUUCGGAAUAACAGUUGGAAACGACUGCUAAUACCGGAUGAUGACGAAAGUCAAAAGAUUUAUCGCCAGAGGAUGAGCCCGCGUAGGAUUAGCUAGAUGGUGUGGUAAAGGCGCACCAAGGCGACGAUCCUUAGCUGGUCUGAGAGGAUGAUCAGCCACACUGGGACUGAGACACGGCCCAGACUCCUACGGGAGGCAGCAGUGGGGAAUAUUGGACAAUGGGCGAAAGCCUGAUCCAGCAAUGCCGCGUGAGUGAUGAAGGCCUUAGGGUUGUAAAGCUCUUUUACCCGGGAUGAUAAUGACAGUACCGGGAGAAUAAGCUCCGGCUAACUCCGUGCCAGCCGCCGCAGUAA
Molecule: ribosomal RNA, 449 nt
Filed under: uncultured bacterium
Lineage: Bacteria
Description: partial 16S ribosomal RNA
Rfam family: Bacterial small subunit ribosomal RNA
Source: RNAcentral